GGGCCCGCACAAGCGGAGGAACAUGUGGUUUAAUUCGAUGAUACGCGAGGAACCUUACCCGGGUUUAAAUGUUGGUUGCAUAGAGCAGAGAUGUUCUUUUCUAGCAAUAGACUACCAGCAAGGUGCUGCAUGGUUGUCGUCAGCUCGUGCCGUGAGGUGUCGGGUCAAGUCCCAUAACGAGCGCAACCCCUGCUUCCUGUUACCAGCACGUAAAGGUGGGGACUCAGGAAGGACUGCCGCCGUAAGGCGAGAGGAAGGGGGGGAUGACGUCAAAUCAGCACGGCCCUUACAUCCGGGGCGACACACGUGUUACAAUGGUCGGUACAGAGGGAAGCCAGGCGGUGACGCCGAGCGGAUCUCAAAAACCGAUCGUAGUUCGGAUCGGAGUCUGCAACUCGACUCCGUGAAGCUGGAUUCGCUAGUAAUCGCAUAUCAGCCAUGAUGCGGUGAAUACGUUCCCGGGCCUU
Molecule: ribosomal RNA, 467 nt
Filed under: uncultured bacterium
Lineage: Bacteria
Description: bacterial SSU rRNA
Rfam family: Bacterial small subunit ribosomal RNA
Source: RNAcentral